GGGGAGGGGGGGGCCUAAUAAUGCAAGUCGAGCGAGCUUGCCUAGAUGAAUUUGGUGCUUGCACCAGAUGACCCUAGAUACAAGCGAGCGGCGGACGGGUGAGUAACACGUGGGUAACCUGCCCAAGAGACUGGGAUAACACCUGGAAACAGAUGCUAAUACCGGAUAACAACACUAGACGCAUGUCUAGAGUUUAAAAGAUGGUUCUGCUAUCACUCUUGGAUGGACCUGCGGUGCAUUAGCUAGUUGGUAAGGUAACGGCUUACCAAGGCAAUGAUGCAUAGCCGAGUUGAGAGACUGAUCGGCCACAUUGGGACUGAGACACGGCCCAAACUCCUACGGGAGGCAGCAGUAGGGAAUCUUCCACAAUGGACGCAAGUCUGAUGGAGCAACGCCGCGUGAGUGAAGAAGGGUUUCGGCUCGUAAAGCUCUGUUGGUAGUGAAGAAAGAUAGAGGUAGUAACUGGCCUUUAUUUGACGGCAAUUACUUAGAAAGUCACGGCUAACUACGUGCCAGCAGCCGCGGUAAUACGUAGGUGGCAAGCGUUGUCCGGAUUUAUUGGGUGUAAAGCGAGUGCAGGCGGUUCCAUAAGUCUGAUGUGAAAGCCUUCGGCUCAACCGGAGAAUUGCAUCAGAAACUGUUGAACUUGAGUCGCAGAAGAGGAGAGUGGAACUCCCUGUGUAGCGGUGGAAUGCGUCGAUAUAUGGCAAGAACACCUUCUUGGUCUAAAUGCGGCUCUCCUGGGUCUUGGCAACUNGAUCCCUGAAGGGUUCUUAAUUUAUGGGGGUUAUUGUAAACCGGGAAUUAAGAUUACCCCUGGGGGAGUCCCCUGGCCGCUAAAAC
RNAcentral lists this ribosomal RNA (843 nucleotides) under Lactobacillus gasseri. RNAcentral's name for it is "bacterial SSU rRNA". It matches the Rfam family "Bacterial small subunit ribosomal RNA", at positions 34 to 858 of the family's 1533-position model. Lineage: Bacteria; Bacillati; Bacillota; Bacilli; Lactobacillales; Lactobacillaceae. The record is from RNAcentral.